Molecule: ribosomal RNA, 549 nt
Filed under: Triticum aestivum (bread wheat)
Lineage: Eukaryota; Viridiplantae; Streptophyta; Magnoliopsida; Poales; Poaceae
Description: partial small subunit ribosomal RNA
Source: RNAcentral
AUGAAUUGCUUAAGUUGGAACUGUCGAGGGGCGGGGAACCCUCGAACAGUUCGCGAUCUUGCGGCUCUUGUGGCCGCCCAUUCUCCGAAGCUUUUUUUAUGUGAAACUAGACAACCUAGAGAUAAAAUGUUUCGUCUUCGUUCUCGUUUAGGUCUUUCGGGUUUUGAAGGAGUCAGUAGUGAAGGCAUGAGUGGAGGUCUUGCUUUAUUUUGGGAUGAGUCUGUAUCAGUUCAAGUCCAAGAAGUCAAUAAAAGAUGGAUUGAUGUGUAUGUCCGUGUGUCAAAUAAUGACCCACAAUGGAGGGUUACCUUUGUUUAUGGUGAACCUAGGGUUGAGAACAGGCAUCUCAUGUGGGACUCUUUGCGUCGCCUCCAUGGAAACAGUGAUCUUCCGUGGACGAUUGUCGGAGAUUUCAACGAAGCAAUGUGGGACUACGAGCAUUUAUCAGAAACCCCGAGAGCCCCAGGACAAAUGCUUAUUUUCAGAGAUGCUCUUGAAACUUGUGGCCUCAUUGAUUUGGGUUCUGCAGGGUACCCCCUUCACAUAUGA